ACUUUUUUAUUAUAAAAAUUAUAGUUGAUUUCCAAUCAAAAGAUCUUGAUUGAUCAAGAAAAAGUA
RNAcentral lists this transfer RNA (66 nucleotides) under Kleidocerys resedae resedae. RNAcentral's name for it is "tRNA-Gly". The record is from RNAcentral. Lineage: Eukaryota; Metazoa; Arthropoda; Insecta; Hemiptera; Lygaeidae.